RNAcentral lists this transfer RNA (88 nucleotides) under Terriglobia bacterium. Its description in RNAcentral is "tRNA-Cys". It matches the Rfam family "tRNA". From Rfam's summary of the family: Transfer RNA (tRNA) molecules are approximately 80 nucleotides in length. Their secondary structure includes four short double-helical elements and three loops (D, anti-codon, and T loops). Further hydrogen bonds mediate the characteristic L-shaped molecular structure. tRNAs have two regions of fundamental functional importance: the anti-codon, which is responsible for specific mRNA codon recognition, and the 3' end, to which the tRNAs corresponding amino acid is attached (by aminoacyl-tRNA synthetases). tRNAs cope with the degeneracy of the genetic code in two manners: having more than one tRNA (with a specific anti-codon) for a particular amino acid; and 'wobble' base-pairing, i.e. permitting non-standard base-pairing at the 3rd anti-codon position. Lineage: Bacteria; Pseudomonadati; Acidobacteriota; Terriglobia. The record is from RNAcentral.
GUACCUGUGGCCGAGCGGCUGAAGGCAACGAUCUGCAAAAUCGUCGGGCAUAUGCCCCGCGCGAGUUCGAAUCUCGCCAGGUACUCCA